RNAcentral lists this long non-coding RNA (1488 nucleotides) under Sus scrofa (pig). RNAcentral describes it as "lncRNA (ENSSSCG00040041419.1)". Lineage: Eukaryota; Metazoa; Chordata; Mammalia; Artiodactyla; Suidae. The record is from RNAcentral.
CAUGGGGAUGUUUCUUCUUAAAUACCACUUAAUAACACUAUUUUAUUGACUGUUUUGUGCAAGGGAGCAAGCUCAAGAAGGACAGAUGCAAGUUAAAUGUCUUGGCUUCAAAAAACUUACACUUUAGUUGAAAAGCAGAAAGAAACACAGUGGGAAAAUGAAGGGGAAAAAAAGGCAAUAUUUGGUAUUUAAUUACCAGUUUAAAACCUGAAGAGUUGAGUUGUGGCAUGGCCAUCCGGUGCCAGGCUAUGGGAAAUCAGAGGAGGAAGAGGUGGAGGCACAGGCACCUGUAAGUCAAGGGGUAUACACAGUUUGGGGGUCAUGAGCCUCUUAGAGAAACCGAAAAAUCUCUGUGUCCCUGCCUGGAUAUGUUUGAAACAAAGGUCCACUUUUGUUUAACCACCCAGAAUUAAUAACUGUUGACAUCUGGUCAUAGUCAUACUCUGUUAACUUGAAGAAAUACAGCAUUCAUGAAGAUGUCUCCUCUAACCAUUCAGUUCAGAUUUAACUCCUUCUCCUGCCCCUGUACACACAUACAGGUGCCUCUCAGGAGGUCCAUCUGUAGCCUCCUUUUGGAGUUACUCUUUUCUUUUAUUUAUUGGUUUUAUGUAUUCUUUUCUGUCAUGCCCAUGACAUGUGGAAGUUCUGGGGCCAAGGCUCAAAUCUGUGCCACCACAGAAACCCUAGCCACAGCAGUGACUGUGCUGGACCUUAACCUGCUGAGCCACCAGGGAACUCCCUGGGGUUGCUAUUUUGCAUACACAAGUGUCCAUAAAGGGUAUAUAGUGCUUUUUGGGGUAAAUUAAUUAUUUCUUAUAUUUGCAUAUGUGGCAUCCUUAUGGACCCAGGCACAAAUACUUGCAAGCGUAUGGCCCCAGGUACUUCCUGGACCCUGGAAGUCCAUUUCUAGAUUCCUGUUUUAGAGGAAGGUGGGACUUGAACCCAGCGAGCAAGUUGGAGAAGGUGUGGGGGAAGUCCAGCCCACAGGUGGGUUCACUGGAGCAGAAGCAGGAGGGAGGGUCUCUGGAGACUGUCAUCCUGCCCAGGGUGGGGAGGACUGUCCCUAUGAGGCCUUGAGAAUCUAGUUCGCAGCCAUCACUGUUUCCCGUACCGUUCAUUUGGCAUUUCACUUGCUCAGAGUUCCUUACUGUUCAGACAUAUAUGUCCUGUUUCUUCCCCUGGACUGUAAACUCCUUCCAAAUCAGACUCUGAUGCUUCAUCUCUUUGCCUUUCCUUUGGGUGUUUUAACUAAGAAAUGCUUGGUGGGUUUGUAUUUUUUGUUUUUCAGUAAAUACUGUGUAAUUGAAACUUUCAUUCUGAUGUUAGGUCUUUGAAUAAUUUUCAGAAAUUAAACCUGAGGCUUUUGAAGAUAAAUUGUGGCAAUUUAAGCCAGCUAGGAAGCUUUAACGUGGGUCGGGCUAUCCUACGGCAGGGAUCUUGGUCUGUUGAUGGCCAAGUUUCCCUCCUGUCAUCGAAGGAUGGCAGAUU